Molecule: ribosomal RNA, 683 nt
Filed under: Acinetobacter sp.
Lineage: Bacteria; Pseudomonadati; Pseudomonadota; Gammaproteobacteria; Moraxellales; Moraxellaceae
Description: bacterial SSU rRNA
Rfam family: Bacterial small subunit ribosomal RNA
Source: RNAcentral
GAGCGGAGAUGAGGUGCUUGCACCUUAUCUUAGCGGCGGACGGGUGAGUAAUGCUUAGGAAUCUGCCAUUUAGUGGGGGACAACAUUCCGAAAGGAAUGCUAAUACCGCAUACGUCCUACGGGAGAAAGCAGGGGAUCUUCGGACCUUGCGCUAAAUGAUGAGCCUAAGUCGGAUUAGCUAGUUGGUGGGGUAAAGGCCUACCAAGGCGACGAUCUGUAGCGGGUCUGAGAGGAUGAUCCGCCACACUGGGACUGAGACACGGCCCAGACUCCUACGGGAGGCAGCAGUGGGGAAUAUUGGACAAUGGGCGGAAGCCUGAUCCAGCCAUGCCGCGUGUGUGAAGAAGGCCUUUUGGUUGUAAAGCACUUUAAGCGAGGAGGAGGCUACUAGUACUAAUACUACUGGAUAGUGGACGUUACUCGCAGAAUAAGCACCGGCUAACUCUGUGCCAGCAGCCGCGGUAAUACAGAGGGUGCGAGCGUUAAUCGGAUUUACUGGGCGUAAAGCGUGCGUAGGCGGCUUUUUAAGUCGGAUGUGAAAUCCCCGAGCUUAACUUGGGAAUUGCAUUCGAUACUGGGAAGCUAGAGUAUGGGAGAGGAUGGUAGAAUUCCAGGUGUAGCGGUGAAAUGCGUAGAGAUCUGGAGGAAUACCGAUGGCGAAGGCAGCCAUCUGGCCUAAUACU